CUUGAUGGAGGAGGAAGCCUCAACACAGAAUUUUAAAGCAAAACAAAUGGACCCUUAACAAGGCAAAAAUGUGUGUGGCGCAUCAUCUGGACUGAAGUAUGUGCACCCGUCAAGAGCAAUUUCUUUGAUGGCUUGAAGAGCUCGCUGAGCUCUGCGGUGGAGACAGUGGAGACAGUGGAGAUGGUGGAGACGGUGGAGAUGGUGGAGACGGUGGAGACGAUGGAGACGGUGGAGACAGGGAAGAAGGAG
Molecule: long non-coding RNA, 249 nt
Filed under: Cricetulus griseus (Chinese hamster)
Lineage: Eukaryota; Metazoa; Chordata; Mammalia; Rodentia; Cricetidae
Description: lncRNA (ENSCGRG00000025649.1)
Source: RNAcentral